AGUGGAGUACCUCGACUAUCAGAUACCCGUUACUCAGCUAAAGGGACCAAAGGAGUAUAUACUAUAUAGUCGGGUAAUUUUCGCUUAAGAAAGGGUAUAGGUGCAGGGGCGCGCCAACAGCGAAGAGAAAACAAAAGAAAUCAAGUAAAGGGCUGAGGAGAAGACAUUUAAAUUGUGCGCAGCAGAUUUACUUUUUUCGUUUCUAAAAGUGAAAAUCAUAAGGUCAGGUGUUUUAUGGGUUCCGUUAGCCAAAAGUGAAUGAUGAAAUGUCUUGUGCCAAUAAAAAUCCCGCGAAGGGUUAUAAACAGCUCUAAAAG
This is a non-coding RNA of Drosophila suzukii, 317 nucleotides long. The record is from RefSeq and is a predicted model, not a curated record. Lineage: Eukaryota; Metazoa; Arthropoda; Insecta; Diptera; Drosophilidae.